GCCUGGGUGGCUCAGUCAGUUGAGCGUCUGACUUCAGCUCAGGUCAUGAUCUCAUGAUCUGUGAGUUCAAACCCAGCAUCGGGCU
Felis catus (domestic cat) is the source of this 85-nucleotide non-coding RNA. The record is from Rfam. NCBI's taxonomy places the organism in Eukaryota, Metazoa, Chordata, Mammalia, Carnivora, Felidae.